AUUGAGCGCUGGCGGCAUGCCUUACACAUGCAAGUCGAACGGCAGCACGGGAGCAAUCCUGGUGGCGAGUGGCGAACGGGUGAGUAAUGUAUCGGAACGUACCUUUCAGUGGGGGAUAACGUAGCGAAAGUUACGCUAAUACCGCAUAUUCUGUGAGCAGGAAAGCAGGGGAUCGCAAGACCUUGCGCUGAUUGAGCGGCCGAUAUCAGAUUAGCUAGUUGGUGAGGUAAAGGCUCACCAAGGCGACGAUCUGUAGCGGGUCUGAGAGGAUGAUCCGCCACACUGGAACUGAGACACGGUCCAGACUCCUACGGGAGGCAGCAGUGGGGAAUUUUGGACAAUGGGCGCAAGCCUGAUCCAGCCAUGCCGCGUGAGUGAAGAAGGCC
RNAcentral lists this ribosomal RNA (386 nucleotides) under uncultured bacterium. RNAcentral describes it as "bacterial SSU rRNA". It matches the Rfam family "Bacterial small subunit ribosomal RNA", at positions 30 to 416 of the family's 1533-position model. The record is from RNAcentral.